RNAcentral lists this transfer RNA (71 nucleotides) under Marmota monax (woodchuck). RNAcentral's name for it is "tRNA.Ala". Lineage: Eukaryota; Metazoa; Chordata; Mammalia; Rodentia; Sciuridae. The record is from RNAcentral.
GGGGUUGUGGCUCAGUGAUAGAGUACUUGCCUAGCAUGCAUGAGGCACUGGGUUUGAUCUCUAGCACCACA